CCAGCAGCCGCGGUAAUUCCAGCUCCAAUAGCGUAUAUUUAAGUUGUUGCAGUUAAAAAGCUCGUAGUUGGAUUUCGGGUGGGUUUCAGCGGUCCGCCUAUGGUGAGUACUGCUGUGGCCUUCCUUACUGUCGGGGACCUGCUUCUGGGCUUCAUUGUCCGGGACAGGGAUUCGGCAUGGUUACUUUGAGUAAAUUGGAGUGUUCAAAGCAGGCUUACGCCGUGAACAUUUUAGCAUGGAAUAACAUGAUAGGACUCUGCCCUAUUCUGUUGGCCUGUAGGAGUGGAGUAAUGAUUAAGAGGAACAGUCGGGGGCAUUCGUAUUUCAUUGUCAGAGGUGAAAUUCUUGGAUUUAUGAAAGACGAACUACUGCGAAAGCAUUUGCCAAGGAUGUUUUCAUUAAUCAAGAACGAAAGU
Molecule: ribosomal RNA, 416 nt
Filed under: uncultured eukaryote
Lineage: Eukaryota
Description: SSU rRNA
Rfam family: Eukaryotic small subunit ribosomal RNA
Source: RNAcentral